AUCCGCCAAACAACUACGAGUGAAAACUUAAAACUUAAAAGACUUGACGGUACUUCAUAACAACCUAGAGGAGCCUGUCUAAUAACCGAUAACCCACGAUCAACCCAACCACUUCUAGCCAUCCAGUCUAUAUACCGCCGUCACCAGCCUACCUUGUGAAAGAAACAAAGCAAGCUCAACAGUAUAACACUAGUAAGACAGGUCGAGGUGUAACAAAUGAAGUGGACCAAGAUGGGCUACAUUUUCUAACACAGAAAACACGAACAGAAAUAUGAAAAACUCCUAGAAGGCGGAUUUAGCAGUAAGCUAAGAACACCUUACUUAACUGAAACCAACGCAAUGAAGUGCGCACACACCGCCCGUCAUCCCUG
Molecule: ribosomal RNA, 371 nt
Filed under: Acrochordus javanicus
Lineage: Eukaryota; Metazoa; Chordata; Lepidosauria; Squamata; Acrochordidae
Description: partial 12S ribosomal RNA
Source: RNAcentral